GUGACUUUGUUCUCAAUUAGACCAGAUGUCAAUGUAUGGCUGGACAACACUGAGCUGACAGCCAUAGGAAGUCAAGGCAAAUUUGUGUCUUUGUCGGUAACGCCAUUCGAUGUACAUGAAUUACGCACCGAAUAUGAAGGAAUCGCACAAGUGUGGAACUUCUCGAUUGUUUCGGAUUCCAUAAAUGUGAGUGGCACACAGAGAACGGCGCAUCUUCCCUCCAGCGGAACUGCGGAAGCGCUCAAGACUUUCCGGACAGAGGAAGUGUUUCCCUGUGAAAACGGCAC
Molecule: long non-coding RNA, 287 nt
Organism: Conger conger (European conger)
Lineage: Eukaryota; Metazoa; Chordata; Actinopteri; Anguilliformes; Congridae
Exons: 3
Source: RefSeq, a predicted model, not a curated record